GCUUCCAUCUGGAAGAAAUCUGGAGACAGGUGCUGCAUGGCUGUCGUCAGCUCGUGUCGUGAGAUGUUGGGUUAAGUCCCGCAACGAGCGCAACCCUUGCCUUUAGUUGCCAGCAGUUCGGCUGGCACUCUAAAGGGACUGCCGGUGUUAAACCGGAGGAAGGUGGGGAUGACGUCAAGUCCUCAUGGCCUUUAUGACCAGGGCUACACACGUACUACAAUGGCCGAUACAAAGGGCAGCGACACUGCGAGGUGAAGCCAAUACCCGUAAAAUCGGUCUCAGUCCGGAUUGGAGUCUGCAACUCGACUCCAUGAAGUUGGAAUCGCUAGUAAUCGUGGAUCAGCAUGCCACGGUGAAUACGUUCCCGGGCCUU
This 373-nucleotide ribosomal RNA is filed under the name uncultured Desulfobulbus sp. Its description in RNAcentral is "bacterial SSU rRNA". It matches the Rfam family "Bacterial small subunit ribosomal RNA", at positions 1013 to 1382 of the family's 1533-position model. The record is from RNAcentral. Lineage: Bacteria; Pseudomonadati; Thermodesulfobacteriota; Desulfobulbia; Desulfobulbales; Desulfobulbaceae.